Molecule: ribosomal RNA, 468 nt
Filed under: uncultured bacterium
Lineage: Bacteria
Description: partial 16S ribosomal RNA
Rfam family: Bacterial small subunit ribosomal RNA
Source: RNAcentral
GACGAACGCUGGCGGCGUGCUUAACACAUGCAAGUCGAACGGAAAGGCCCUGCUUUUGUGGGGUGCUCGAGUGGCGAACGGGUGAGUAACACGUGAGUAACCUGCCCUUGACUUUGGGAUAACUUCAGGAAACUUGGGCUAAUACCGGAUAGGAGCUCCUGCUGCAUGGUGGGGGUUGGAAAGUUUCGGCGGUUGGGGAUGGAUUCGCGGCUUAUCAGCUUGGUGGUGGGGUAGUGGCAUACCAAGGCUUUGACGGGUAGCCGGCCUGGGAGGGUGACCGGCCACCUUGGGACUGAGAUACGGCCCAGAGUCCAACGGGGGACAGCAGUGGGGAAUAUUGCCCAGUGGGCGGAAGCCUGAUGCAGCAACGCCGCGUGCGGGAUGACGGCCUUCGGGUUGUAAACCGCUUUCGCCUGUGACGAAGCGUGAGUGACGGUAAUGGGUAAAGAAGCACCGGCUAACUACGUG